UACCAGCACCCCGAGUGGUCGGGACGUUUAUUGGGCCUAAAGCAUCCGUAGCCGGUUCUACAAGUCUUCCGUUAAAUCCAGCUGCUUAACAGAUGGGCUGCGGAAGAUACUAUGGAGCUAGGAGGCGGGAGAGGCAAGCGGUACUCGAUGGGUAGGGGUAAAAUCCGUUGAUCCAUUGAAGACCGCCAGUGGCGAAGGCGGCUUGCCAGAACGCGCUCGACGGUGAGGGAUGAAAGCUGGGGGAGCAAACCGG
This 253-nucleotide ribosomal RNA is filed under the name uncultured bacterium. RNAcentral describes it as "partial 16S ribosomal RNA". It matches the Rfam family "Archaeal small subunit ribosomal RNA", at positions 474 to 727 of the family's 1478-position model. The record is from RNAcentral.